This 253-nucleotide ribosomal RNA is filed under the name uncultured bacterium. Its description in RNAcentral is "partial 16S ribosomal RNA". It matches the Rfam family "Bacterial small subunit ribosomal RNA", at positions 524 to 776 of the family's 1533-position model. The record is from RNAcentral.
UACAGAGGUCUCAAGCGUUGUUCGGAUUCAUUGGGCGUAAAGGGUGCGUAGGCGGCGCGGUAAGUCGGGUGUGAAAUCUCGGGGCUUAACUCCGAAACUGCAUUCGAUACUGCCGUGCUGGAGGACUGGAGAGGAGACUGGAAUUUACGGUGUAGCGGUGAAAUGCGUAGAUAUCGUAAGGAAGACCAGUGGCGAAGGCGGGUCUCUGGACAGUUCCUGACGCUGAGGCACGAAGGCCAGGGGAGCAAACGGG